RNAcentral lists this ribosomal RNA (221 nucleotides) under Bacillus subtilis. RNAcentral describes it as "partial 16S ribosomal RNA". It matches the Rfam family "Bacterial small subunit ribosomal RNA", at positions 157 to 371 of the family's 1533-position model. Lineage: Bacteria; Bacillati; Bacillota; Bacilli; Caryophanales; Bacillaceae. The record is from RNAcentral.
CCGGGGCUAAUACCGGAUGGUUGUUUGAACCGCAUGGUUCAAACAUAAAAGGUGGCUUCGGCUACCACUUACAGAUGGACCCGCGGCGCAUUAGCUAGUUGGUGAGGUAAUGGCUCACCAAGGCAACGAUGCGUAGCCGACCUGAGAGGGUGAUCGGCCACACUGGGACUGAGACACGGCCCAGACUCCUACGGGAGGCAGCAGUAGGGAAUCUUCCGCAA